RNAcentral lists this ribosomal RNA (395 nucleotides) under uncultured bacterium. Its description in RNAcentral is "bacterial SSU rRNA". It matches the Rfam family "Bacterial small subunit ribosomal RNA", at positions 29 to 415 of the family's 1533-position model. The record is from RNAcentral.
AACGAACGCUGGCGGCGCGCCUAACACAUGCAAGUCGAACGAGAAGGCGUAGCAAUACGCUUGUAGAGUGGCGAACGGGUGAGUAAUACGUGGGUGACCUACCCUCGAGUGGGGAAUAACCCGCCGAAAGGCGGGCUAAUGCCGCGUACGCUUCCGUCCUCACGGGGACGGAAGGAAAGCUGUACCGUGGGUACGGCGCUCAAGGAUGGGCUCACGUCCUAUCAGCUUGUUGGUAGGGUAACGGCCACCAAGGCUACGACGGGUAGCUGGUCUGAGAGGACGAUCAGCCACACUGGCACUGCGACACGGGCCAGACUCCUACGGGAGGCAGCAGUGAGGAAUAUUGCGCAAUGGGCGAAAGCCUGACGCAGCGACGCCGCGUGGGGGAUGAAGGU